UACGUAGGUGGCAAGCGUUGUCCGGAUUUAUUGGGCGUAAAGGGAGCGCAGGCGGUGACUUAAGUCUGAUGUGAAAGCCCACGGCUCAACCGUGGAAGGUCAUUGGAAACUGGGUCACUUGAAUAUAGAAGAGGAAAGUGGAAUUCCCGGUGUAGUGGUGAAAUGCGUAGAGAUCGGGAGGAACACCAGUGGCGAAGGCGACUUUCUGGUCUAUUAUUGACGCUGAGGCUCGAAAGCAUGGGUAGCAAACAGGAUUAGAUACCCCGGUAGUCCCU
RNAcentral lists this ribosomal RNA (275 nucleotides) under uncultured prokaryote. RNAcentral's name for it is "partial 16S ribosomal RNA". It matches the Rfam family "Bacterial small subunit ribosomal RNA", at positions 524 to 798 of the family's 1533-position model. The record is from RNAcentral.